CAUCGAGAGAGAUGGCUUCUAGGAUGUCUAGAAGAGAUGAGAACUUUUCUCUUCCCUUCUUCUUUUCUCUCUCUAAUCUUUCUCUCUGAUCUUAUCUGAGGAGAAUGUGGGGCAUGAAAAGGAAGAAGAGCGAAGGGCGUGGAGAUGUAGUCUUGCGGCAAGAAAGGAACGCCCCAAUGAUUCAUGCACGUCUUCACACCACCCUUUUAAUUUUUAUCGCACAAG
RNAcentral lists this long non-coding RNA (225 nucleotides) under Elaeis guineensis (African oil palm). RNAcentral's name for it is "long non-coding RNA (EGUI_LNC065203)". Lineage: Eukaryota; Viridiplantae; Streptophyta; Magnoliopsida; Arecales; Arecaceae. The record is from RNAcentral.